Molecule: long non-coding RNA, 2573 nt
Organism: Cydia splendana
Lineage: Eukaryota; Metazoa; Arthropoda; Insecta; Lepidoptera; Tortricidae
Exons: 3
Source: RefSeq, a predicted model, not a curated record
UACCAAUGUAUAUAAUCAUAAAUAUAAUUAUGUAUAUUACUAAAAAUAAGCAGAUGCUUGUAUAUACGCGAAGUAUUUUUUAAAACUAUUGCAAACUAGUAUUUGUCUGAUAUUUAAGCCAAUGCUACUCUUAGGGUCGCUAAACAGAUGUAGUUCAUAAUUGUUUUCCUUGGUAUUUUCUCGGAAACGUUCGUAUUUGUCGUGAUACUUCAGUUAACUAAGCACUUUUUGUACCGAGACUGACUGAAAUAGCAAGACACGUUCGUACGUUUCCGUGAAAAUACGAUGGAUAAUAAUUAUGCACUACAUCCUGUACACGUGUUUAUUUUAUUUAUUUAUUACCUGUACACGUUUUGUAAGUAAAAAUUUCGUUUUAUGAUACUCAUAUUUAUUUCCAGUAUUUACAGUUAUUUAUUUAAGAAGGAUAAUUAAUCGUUAUUAUCGCUAACUCGUAUCACUUAUUAACAUUGCAAGUUGUAUCUUAUUGUCAUGCAAUAAAGUCUGUACAGUCAGCAGCAGAAGUUGCUAAGCGGGCAAGGUGUUCAAAAUAAUCUUGACGCGACUUUAUUGUUAAGAGAAUAAUAGCGUGUCAAGGUAAUUUUGAACACCUUGCCCGCUUAGCAACUUCUGCUGCUGUCUGUACAUUGGUAACAUUCUCAAUAUCUUAUUCUUAUGUAUUGAGGUUUAAAAUACAUAGCUAAUAUUCCAUCUAUUUCAUUGCAGUUGUAAGAUUUUCUUUGAAUUUAAAACUUAGGAAAACUAUGGUGCGAGUUAGUGAUACAUAUUUUUUUAUUGAUAAUAAUCAUUUACCGGAACAGUGUACCUGAAGCUGUUUUCCAUUUAGGAUAAAGAUAUAAACUUUAAUUAACUAUUUGUAUAUUUUAAGCAAUAUUAUUUCGUUCUGAAAGGUCCAAAGGAAGCACUGGAGUGAGUAGUUUUUAAGUUUACCAAUAACUUAAAUUCUAAAUUAAAUAAUAGGUAUAUUUGAAAAUCAUCCUAAAUAUUUAUGCUCAGUGCAUAUCAAAUAUCAAAUGUGCAUAGAUGUCCAGUACGUAUGAUAGUUUUUGUGGACGUCUUAAGGCUAGAGCGUACCGGCUGCGUGUGAAAUGUUGGAACAGUGCACGCACACGUCACGCAAGCGGUGUGCCGUCUCUCAUAAGGAUCUGUAUACCUACUACAACGCGCACGUGCACAUCUACGCACACGCACACGCACGCGGCGUGCACAGGCCAUUAUUUUGGACUUUCUGAACGUAUUUUGAAGUCAUUGUAUUUCUCUUCUGACAGCUGAUAUACCCAAAUAAUCAACAUUCUACUUAAAUAUUGUUAUAUUUGUAAGCGGCAAGUGAUCUCGCGUUGGAUUAAGUCUACUUAAUAGUAUAUCCCACUUCUGAUGCUGAUGAUAUCAGUGUAUAAUAUGCUUAUCACAACCAAUGGUUGUGGCUACAAUAUUUAUACAAUUAUUUAUACAUUUCUUCUAAAAAAUGUUUUAUGGGUCGAUUGGGCAUUACGUUAUGUUGAUGAAAUGGGUCUAGGUGGGCGUAUUUUGUUCCAUACAUAUUAUAUUUUCAAUAUUAUUUUUUUUGUAAUAUUUGUUUUGGGUAUUUAAGAUUUAAAACAGCUUGGCAAUGAUGGCAUGCGUCUUUUUAUCUCUAAGACCUAUUUUGUAUUACGUAUACUAAAAUAAAGUGAUAGUUUAUCUACCGUAAAAUGGUUCUACUUUGCUCCACUGUGGGUAACUAUGCUCCAAUUCUAUAAAAUGGUUUAACGUUUAAUAUAUUCAAAUAUGUUUUAUAUUUCUAUGUUAUUUUUAUAUGUAUAAACUUACUCAGGUUAACGUAUUUAUAAAACUUUGCGCCCCCAAGUAAACUAUAGGUAGGUAAACAAUAUUCAUAAUUUUCUUAAUUUGGAGCAAUUAAGUAGGGCCAUUUCACGGUAUCCAAUCAUUUUACCAAUUUUUCGGGCUGUAUAUCUGGAUAUAAAAACAAGGAAUAAGUUUUCCUUAAGAGGGAAGAAUAGCUACUGAUAAAAAGUAUUUUUUUCAUACAAUUUCCAUUUCGGGAGUAAACGGUUUCCACUAACUAAAUCUUCACAAAUAACAUUGAUUUUGAAGUCGAUCGGUUCAGCAUAAUAUAUUCAAAGUUUAUAGGUUUCGAUUGUAAAAAAAAUGCAAAUUUUGUAAAAAGGAAAACCUAUAAACCUAGUCUUUCAUUGUCAAUACCGUACUAAAAAGUCAUGGAGAAUGGAAAAUAUUUAGAAGGUAUAAAAACAUUUUCUCUUUUUGUUUGGACGAGUGCGUAGUAUUCUUCCCUCUUUUCCAGGAAAUAAAUGGCAUCUUCUUGUUAUUGAGAUGGGUCUUAUUUUAACAACUACAAUACCAAGUCUUAAUUAAUUUUGUUUUGACUUGCACUUAAACUUGGUUAAAUGAAAUUUUGUAAUCACUUAUAUGCUUACUUUGUGAUAAAAAUAAUUUAUUUUUGUGAAAUUAUUUAUAACUUUAUUGUGUAUUUUUAAUGUUAUUUUCUUGGUGUAUUAUAAUUAUUAUUGGUGAAUUUUAAUAAAUUAUUGAAAGAA